This 337-nucleotide unclassified non-coding RNA is filed under the name soil metagenome. RNAcentral's name for it is "partial contains 5.8S ribosomal RNA, internal transcribed spacer 2, and large subunit ribosomal RNA". The stretch from base 1 to 120 matches the Rfam family "5.8S ribosomal RNA", at positions 35 to 154 of the family's 154-position model. The record is from RNAcentral.
GAUGAAGAACGUAGCGAAAUGCGAUAAGUAAUGUGAAUUGCAGAAAUCAGUGAAUCAUCGAAUCUUUGAACGCACAUUGCGCCCGCCAGUAUUCUGGCGGGCAUGCCUGUUCGAGCGUCAUUUCAACCAUCAAGCCCCCGGGCUUGUGUUGGGGACCUGCGGCUGCCGCAGGCCCUGAAAAGCAGUGGCGGGCUCGCUGUCACACCGAGCGUAGUAGCAUACAUCUCGCUCUGGGCGUGCUGCGGGUUCCGGCCGUUAAACUACCCUUUUAACCCAAGGUUGACCUCGGAUCAGGUAGGAAGACCCGCUGAACUUAAGCAUAUCAAUAAGCGGAGGA